AGGAUGAACGCUGGCGGCGUGCCUAACACAUGCAAGUCGAACGUCCUGUCUCGCAAGAGGCAGGGAGUGGCGGACGGGUGAGUACCACGUGGGUUAUCUACCGUGAGGUGAGGAAUACCGGCGAGAAAUCGCCGACAAGACCGCAUAGCCUCGGUGCAAGCCGAGGAAAGCUCUCUCGAGAGAGGGAGCGCCACACGAGGAGCCUGCGCCCGAUUAGCUAGCUGGUGGAGUAACGGUUCACCAGGGCGACGAUCGGUAGCUGGUCUGAGAGGACGAUCAGCCACACUGGGAUUGAGAACGGCCCAGACUCCUACGGGGGGCAGCAGUGAGGAAUUUUCGUCAAUGGGGGCAACCCUGAACGAGCAACGCCGCGUGCAGGAGAAGGUUUCGGAUCGUAAACUGCUUUUCUCGGGGAAGAGAACGGACGGUACCCGAGGAAUCAGCCCCGGCUAACUACGUGCCAGCAGCCGCGGUAA
Molecule: ribosomal RNA, 476 nt
Filed under: uncultured bacterium
Lineage: Bacteria
Description: SSU rRNA
Rfam family: Bacterial small subunit ribosomal RNA
Source: RNAcentral